GAUGAACGCUGGCGGCGUGCCUAAUACAUGCAAGUCGAGCGAACGGACGAGAAGAGUGUUCUUUUGCGGUUGGCGGCGGACGGGUGAGUGACACGUGGAUAACCUACUUAUAAUACUGGGGUAACUUCGUGAAACCGGUGAUACUACUGGCUAAUAUUUUGAACCGGAUGGUUCAAAAGUGAAAGACGGUUUUGGUGUCACUUAUAGAUGGAGUCGCGCUGGAUUAGCUAGUUGGUAAGGUAACGGCUUACCAAGGCAACGAUGCAUAGCCGACCUGAGAGGGUGAUCAGCCACACUGGAACUGAGACACGGUCCAGACUCCUACGGGAGGCAGCAGUAGGGAAUCUUCGGCAAUGGGCGAAAGCCUGACGCAGCAACGCCGCGUGAGUGAUGAAGGCCUUCGGAUCGUAAAGCCCUGUUGUUAGGGAAGAACAGAUGUAGGAGUAACCGUGGCUGUCUUGACGGUACCCAAACAAAAAGCCCCGGCUAACUACGUG
RNAcentral lists this ribosomal RNA (497 nucleotides) under uncultured bacterium. RNAcentral's name for it is "partial 16S ribosomal RNA". It matches the Rfam family "Bacterial small subunit ribosomal RNA", at positions 28 to 507 of the family's 1533-position model. The record is from RNAcentral.